RNAcentral lists this long non-coding RNA (2334 nucleotides) under Homo sapiens (human). RNAcentral describes it as "HSALNT0362899". Lineage: Eukaryota; Metazoa; Chordata; Mammalia; Primates; Hominidae. The record is from RNAcentral.
GGCCGCCCGGGGCGUCUCCAAAGCCCCCUUCCCUAACCCGAGAGCCCUCCAGACACGCGUGGAGUCCGGGGAGAGGCCCCUGCACCGGCGGAUCCUGCCGCAGGGCCGAGGAAGAGCAAGAGCGACUGUCUGGCUGCGGUCAUUCGCUGUCUGUGCCGGGCUCCUCGCUAGGAUCCAGUUCUUAGCCGACUCCUUGCUAGGCGGGGACAAGCUCCCGAAAACAAAUAAGACAAUGUGAUGUGGGCUACAUUGGGUGGCAGUCGAGUGUUCUAAAAAUAUCCCGCCAGGAGGAAGGCAUUCCGAGUAGCGGGAUCCCGCGCAGCCUCAGGGCUGCUGGCAGUGAAAGUGGGGGGAUGGAGGAGGUGUCCAGAGGAAAGACCUGGAGAUCUGGAGAUACAGGACGGUCAGGGUGGUCAGAGAAUUUGGAUCUUUUGCUUGUUGGAAAUCGGGACCGCUCCGAGAAACGUAAGCAGCUCGAUGUUGUUAGUGCCAGUGGAGACACUUGGCACUCACAAUUUGCAGACGUUUGGGAAAGCAUCGUUUCUCAAGAGGACCCCGUUCCCGUGUCUGUAAAUCAGAGAUGGUACCCACUUCGUAGUUCGCUGUGAAGCCUGUGAGCGAGGAGGGGCUUUAAAAUACAGAACUUUGCACUGGAGCGCUCCCCGUCCUCGCAGCCUGCUUGGUGUGCAGGUGGUUCCCAGGCGGCUUCUGCUUCCGAAAAGCAGAUCGUCCCUUUAUCUCGAGUCUUCUCCCCGCCUCUCCCUCUUCUCCCUACCCUAUUUGUCUUCUUGGGAACAAAUGGCACAUUCAUCAGAGUGGAGAUCCAUAAACGGGACUGGCGAGCCGAAGAUUUAAUUCUGAAGAAUAGGAUCUGCUCUGUGCUUUCAGGUUAAAAAGCUGUAAAUAUCUUUGUAAUUCUAGCAGUACUUUGCCCUCUUCUGCCAUCUGAACGCGUGCUCCCUGCUGACCUCAUCGGCUCCCAUAAAGAUACGCCGGGCGUGAUAGUGCACGCCUACAAAUCCCAGCUACUCGGGAGGCUGCGGCAGAAGAAUCUCUGGAACCUGGGAAGCAGAGGUUGCAGUGAACUGAGAUCACACCACUGCACUCCAGCCUGGACCACAGAGCAAAACUCUGUCUUAAAAAUUAUAUUUUUAAUAAAAAUAAAUAAUAAAUGCAGAACUGGCCUCGGGGUGCUGGGAGAGCAAUUGCACUUCUACCAGGCAUCUCUAUGGACAAGAAUCAUUGGCAUUCCUAUGAAUUUUCUACAACUUACCAAGUUGGAAAAUAGCUGCAAGAUUUUAUAAGGCAAAAAUCACUAAAAAAUCAGGUAAUCCAGAAAGGUGCUUUAGAUAAGGCCUAGCAUGCCACAGGACACCCAAUAAUUUUUGGAGUUUUUGCCAUUUUAACUUUUUUAGUUUUUCCAGACAUUCCCAAGGUGGCACCUUCCAUAGUUGUACAGUUUCAACUGUGUUAAAAUUUCUUUGUCGGGGACUGUUGUGGGGUGGGGGAACGGGGAGGGAUAGCAUUAGGAGAUAUACCUAAUGCUAAGUGACGAGUUAAUGGGUGCAGCACACCAACAUGGCACAUGUAUACAUAUGUAACAAACCUGCACGUUAUGUACAUGUACGCUAAAACUUAAAGUAUAAUAAUAAUAAGAAUUCUUUGUCAGCUUGGGCAACAGAGUGACACCCCAUUUCUACAAAACAUACAUAAAUCGAGCCAGGUGCAGUGACUCACGCCUGUAGUCCUAGCACUUUGGGAGGCUGAGGCAGGUGGAUCAUGAGGUCAGGAGAUCGAGACCAUCCUGGCCAACAUGGUGAAAUCCCGUCUCUACUAAAAAUACAAAAAUUAGCUGGGCGUGGUGGUGUGUGCUUGUAAUCCCAGCUACUUGGGAGGCUGAGGCAGGAGAAUUGCUUGAACCCAGGGGGUGGAGGCUGCAGUGAGAAUUGCUUGAACCCGGGAGGCAGAGGUUGCAAUGAGGCGAGAUUGCGCCACUGCACUCCAGCCUGGUGACAGAGCGAGACUCCGUCUCAAAAAAAAAAAAAAAAUUAGCCAGGUAUAGUGGUGCUCACAUGCAGUCCCCAGCUACUCAGUAGGCUGCGGUGCAGGAUUGCUUGAGCCCAGAAUUUUGAGGCUGCAGUGAACUAUGAUCACGGCACUGCACUCCAGGCUGGGUGACAGAGAGAGACAUGUCUCAAAAAAAAAAAAAAUUAAAAGUAUAUCUAUUCCUUUAAAAAGAGGAACAGGAUAUUUAUAAUGAAGCACAGAUAAAGGGCAAUUGGAUAAUUGUGGCUUUAAACUCCUUGUAAUUAAAGAAAUAAGCCAUCUAAUGUA